This 327-nucleotide ribosomal RNA is filed under the name Triticum aestivum (bread wheat). RNAcentral's name for it is "partial small subunit ribosomal RNA". The record is from RNAcentral. Lineage: Eukaryota; Viridiplantae; Streptophyta; Magnoliopsida; Poales; Poaceae.
AUGACAGGUUCCGAAGAUAGAAGUUCUUGGACGACGGACACAUCUUUACCAUCACGAGAGUUGGGACAACACACACAAGCACAUGGUCAGGUUAUCUUUUUACCGUCAUUUGAGGGUAGAUUUAAUCCUACUACUUAUCUAGCUUGGGAGCUUGAAGUAGAACAAGUUUUUAGUCACCAUGACUUUUCUGAACUUGAGCGAGUGCAAGCAGCCACUAGAGCAUUUACUGAUUUUGCUUCUGUUUGGUGGAGUGUACAUUGUAAGAAAAACAUUGAUAACCAACCCACAACUUGGAAAGUUUUGAAAGCUGUAAUGAGACAACAAUUU